AAGUCGUAACAAGGUUUCCUUCCAGUUACAAAACUUACUGAAGCCUGGCACUGCGACUCAAAAUAACAGUGCAGUCCUGACGAAUCUGUCGGGGCAACGCCUCCAUAAUGCUGGAAGUUUCCAAUAUUGGAUACCAGCAGCCAUACUUUUGUUAUGGCCCACAGAUCAAAUUGGGGCGGUUAAAAAUCUAUCUUAACGAAGAUAUGACCGAGUCUUGCCUUGGAAAAGGCUGAGAAUCGACGUUCCGUAGGUGAACCUGCGGAAGGAUCAUUACUGAGAUAGGGUUCUUUUGAGCCCGACCUCCAACCCUUUUGUUUAAACUACUUUGUUGCUUUGGCAGGCCCGCUCUUCGGGGCCGCUGGAGGCGUUCAGUCGCCUCUGGUCAGUGCUUGCCAGUAGCCAAUUUUAAAUUCUAUUUAACCAUGUCGUCUGAACAAUAAUUAUAAUUAAUUAAA
This 455-nucleotide unclassified non-coding RNA is filed under the name plant metagenome. Its description in RNAcentral is "partial contains small subunit ribosomal RNA and internal transcribed spacer 1". The record is from RNAcentral.